This 1337-nucleotide ribosomal RNA is filed under the name Culex cylindricus. RNAcentral's name for it is "large subunit ribosomal RNA". The stretch from base 1082 to 1241 matches the Rfam family "Archaeal large subunit ribosomal RNA", at positions 2544 to 2703 of the family's 2987-position model. Lineage: Eukaryota; Metazoa; Arthropoda; Insecta; Diptera; Culicidae. The record is from RNAcentral.
AUAAAUUUUAUUUAUUAAUUUUAUUUAUUUAUUUAAUUUAUUUAAUAAAAAUAAUUUUAUGAUUUUAAGUUUUAGUAUUUUAUAAAGAAAAAAUAAUUUUAAUUAUAGUUAAUUUGUAUUGUAAAAGAAAAUUGAAAUAAUUUGAAAAAUUAUUAUUUUAAAAGAAAAUUUGAUUUAUUGUACCUUGUGUAUCAGGGUUUAUUAAAUAAUAAAUUAUUAUAUUAAUUUUUCUCGAAUUUUAAAGAUUUAAUUAUAUAUAAAAGUUACUGUUGAAUAAUUAUUUUUAAUAUAUAAUUAGAAAUGAAAUGUUAAUCGUUUUAAAAUAUAUCUAGUUUUUUAAGAAAUAAAUUUAAUUUAGAUUUAUAAAUUUAAAUUAUUUAAUUUAGGUAAAUAAUUUAAUUUAUAAAAUUAAUAUUUUAAGGGAUUAGCUUUAAAAUAAAUUUUUAAAUUUUAAAUUAAUUAUUUAAUAAAUAUAAGCUUAAAAAUAGCUAUUAUUAAUAAAUUUGUUAUAAUUUAUUUUAAAAAUUUAAUUAUUUAUUAUAAAAUUAAAUUAUUUAUUAAAAUAUAAAUUUUAAUUAUAUAAAUUUAUUAAUUAUGAUAAAAUUAGUAUAUAAAGUUUUUAUAAAUAAUUAUUUAUGAAAGGUUUAAAUAAGGAAUUCGGCAAAAUAUAUAUUCACCUGUUUAUCAAAAACAUGUCUUUUUGAAUUUAAUUUAAAGUCUAACCUGCCCACUGAUAAUAAUUAAAGGGCCGCAGUAUUUUGACUGUGCGAAGGUAGCAUAAUCAUUAGUCUUUUAAUUGAAGGCUUGUAUGAAUGGUUGAAUGAGAUAUAUACUGUCUUUUUUAAAAUUAUAUAGAAUUUUAUUUUUUAAUUAAAAAGUUAAAAUGUAAUUAAAGGACGAGAAGACCCUAUAGAUCUUUAUUUUUGUUAUUUAUAAAUUAAAAAGAAUUUUAAAAUUUAUAUUUUAAUUAAAAAUUUUAUUGGGGUGAUAUUAAAAUUUAAAAAACUUUUAAAAAUUUUUUAACAUUAAUAUAUGAAUAAAUGAUCCAAUUUUAUUGAUUAAAAAUUUAAGUUACCUUAGGGAUAACAGCGUAAUUUUUUUUUAGAGUUCAUAUCGACAAAAAAGAUUGCGACCUCGAUGUUGGAUUAAGAGUUAUUUUUAGGUGUAGAAGUUUAAAGUUUAGGUCUGUUCGACCUUUGAAUUCUUACAUGAUCUGAGUUCAAACCGGCGUAAGCCAGGUUGGUUUCUAUCCUUAAUAAAUUAUUAUAUUAUAGUACGAAAGGACCUAAUAUAAAAAAUAUAGAUUUUAAUAAUAUGAUUUAUAUUAAUAUUUGAUA